ACAUUGACUCAACUGACUAGACCAUUUAUUCACAAUAGUCCAGCAGUUUUUAUGUGUUAGACACAACAGACACACUUACGAGGUAAAGUGGUUGUACUCAACCAUAGCUGUGUAUCCGAGUCUCCUGGGGCACUUUUUAAAACAAUGCAGAUUCCUUGGAUGUAGUAUAGACUCAGUCAAUUUAAAUCUCUAAGAGGGCGAUCAGGACAUAUGUUUUAUCUUCUCUUUUUUUUUUUUAAGUUUCACAGAGGAUUGAAUAUACAGUUAGGAUUAAGAAUCACUGAGAUGAAUGAUUCUAUGCCACUUACAAUAGACAUAAGUAAGGCUAUUAUUAAACCAACUCAUAUAAAUUAUCAUCCAUCCAAGUCUUCAUUUUGCCUAUGUAAGAUAAUUUUUAAUGAUGUCUAAAUGUUUAGAUUGUUUUAAAUUCAGAAAUCAGGGAAAAAUAAUAACAAAUAAUUUUUUAGUCGUUGUAACACUUUAGUGAUCCCCUUCAAAUUGUCAAGGAAGAAGAAAGUUAACAUUGGUGUUGAGACACCAAUGAAGAAAUUAAUGGCUUGAAAAUAAAAUUGGAGGAAAUUAUUAAACUUAUCCUUAAAACUAAGUUGUAUAGUAGCAACUUAACUGCCACAGUAACAAUGUGACUCUCGUAGG
Molecule: non-coding RNA, 654 nt
Filed under: Homo sapiens (human)
Lineage: Eukaryota; Metazoa; Chordata; Mammalia; Primates; Hominidae
Source: RNAcentral